Octopus bimaculoides (California two-spot octopus) is the source of this 3132-nucleotide unclassified non-coding RNA. Lineage: Eukaryota; Metazoa; Mollusca; Cephalopoda; Octopoda; Octopodidae. The record is from RefSeq and is a predicted model, not a curated record.
CGUCGGAAGGCUCAACGCUCUUUUCAUAUAAUAGUUAUAUCUUACUUUAUACUUUAUGGAAUAAGAAGUAUGCAGUAUCUUCUAUUUGAUUUUAUAAUUUAAAUGUGUAUUUCGAAGCUUUAGGUGACGCGAUAUCAAUCGCAGAUUGCUUCCUUAUGACACAAGAAAAUUGCGCUAAAUCACAGUAUGCAGGCAUUUCCAUUGCUAACUAUUACAGGAGCCGAUGCGGAACAUAAUUGCUUCGCAAAAGCAAAAUCAUAUUGCGAUGUUGGCCUCAGAGCUUACCCAGUAUUUAAUCCAGAUGUCUUACUCUGCAAGCGUCUGCAGGUAUACGAAAGUUGUUUUGAAGGAAGUUUCCAGAAAUGCAAGUGGUUCUUCCAUAAUCUGCAUUUUUCAGUAUGCUCUGAAGGCAAAUCAUCGAAAAAUGAAGCUCUGUCCUAUGUUAAAUCACCGCACAAAUUAUUGAUGGUACUUAUUUUACGGCACAUGGUGUUAUGCUUUGAAAAUCCAUUAACACGAAAGAGUUAAAUACGGAAACAACGAAAAGAAAUGAAAGACAGGACAAAUAAACACAAAGAAACGACUUUUCAUCACUUGUCGGCUGUCUAUCUACUUCUCAUUUCGAGCAUUAUAAUAUAUUGUUUGUGCUAUAUAUACAUGCAUAUCUAUUUCUGUGUCUAUCUAUCUAUCUGUCCAUUUUCUAUCUAUAUGGCUGUGUGUAUGUUUGCCUGUGUAUUUCUCUAUGCAUGUUAACAAACUUUAUAUUCGUCCAAAUAAGCUUCUGCUACAUUUUGACUUCUAAUGGCCUUUUUAAUGCAAUUUACAAUAAAGAAAAUCCUUUCGAUUAUUAUACAAUGCCAGUACUUUUACAUUGCCUCUUUUUCAUUCUAGUCGACCAGAAAAUGCUAUAAAAUUCAUAACAAUAAUUAACACAGAACACGCGAAUUGUUUGGCUUUCUUUAAAGUGUUCAUUAGUUGAAUGCGAAUUGCUCUAAAGCGUAUUUGGUUGUACCCAUUGUACAUGUGGAAGAAAAGUGAUGCUAAUAAACUAAUAGAAAUGUGCUGCUGAAAGCAAUUGCUAUAGUGCGAAGUGGCAUUCAUCCGAUACUAGACACUGAAGCUUAGCAAAAAUAUUCCUUGAUAUAUCUAAGUUGGUAACUGUUGUAUUGAUAAAUGUGAAUGUUGACAAGUUGCAGUGUGAUUGUAUCGAAAUUAUAUGGCCUAUUUCAAACUUCUCCAUGAUUUGCGAUCAUUGCGCUCGUAAAUUGGUUUUAACAUGAACGCUCGUUUCAACUCGAUACCUCGCUAACUUCAAAGAUUCUUGUCAAAUGCAUAUGGAAGUACGAACUAUACCAUAUUCUGAAACCAAAAUGAUGUUUGUCUGAUAUAGAUGUUUACCAAUAUUGACAAGAGACAAUAGAUAUUUUGAUUACUUUUGAUGCUUUUAUUUUCAUUUUUAAAAGAUUUUUUAUUAACAUUGCUCCUCACCAUCAUAAAUUCUAAAAUUUUCAGUUUUGUUAGCGUGCCGUGCAACUGACCUUUCUGAAUAGCACCGCCCAAUAAGUUUUUUUUCCGUUUUCUGGGGAAUAUUUGCAACGAUGCAAAUGAUGUUCAGAAGCUUUUUUAUGAAAAGCAAUUUGGAAAUUAAUGAAUCCGAUUGUCUCCAUUUUCCAUUUUCCAAUCAUGAAGUUCAAAACAGAAAACAUCAUUGUAAACAAAACACGCAUCCGAAAAAUAGUAAAAAAAUAACAUCUGCGCCCUCUGACACGAAUGGACGGCAAGUAGACGAAUUUAUUUUGGUAGAAAAUCGAGUCAACCUGUGACUUAGCAGAACAACUAUACUCACACUUCAUUACAGAAUAUGGUCGAAAACUUUGAGUAUCGAUAAGAGUGUGAAAUGUGGAUAGUGCUGCAAUUGACAAUUGAUUUGAAAAACAAAAGUAGUAGAAAUCAGAUUUGAUGUACUAUGAAAAUCUUGAAAUCAAUACAGAACUUCGUAGGAAGUGUAAACGUGGUUAUAUAAUUAUAAAACGGGAACAAAGGUUCAAAACACGAUAUAUUUUUGGCGAUGAUGAUGGUAAUAUUCACAUUAGUUUUCAUAAAUGUGGUUGUGCCAUGAAGAAGAAUCGAUACAUUGAGUCUAUCAAAAAUGUAAGAAAAUUAAGUCACAGGAAGACUGACAGCAAGAACGUGUAUAUAUAGAAGGAGCAACCUCACAGAUAUCUGACAAUUAAUCUGGUAGUUGGCAAACUGGGAUGGUGAGUGGUUCCCGCAAUCGAAGUGACAACCUCAAUUCGGGGCAUUUGGGAUUACAUAUCAAUAAUUUAGCCUGAACGAAAGAACAUACAUAUACAAAUCUGUACUAAAUUUGAUGAAUAUGUUAAUUAAGUAAAAUAUGUUACAUGUCAACGAAUACACUAAAAUAUAUUUAGAGAUGACAUUAAUACAUCUAUAAAUGAAUCACAUAACAGUAAACGCACAUAUUAAUUUAGUGACGCAAACAUAUGUCACAUGAAUUUUCACUUUUUUUUUUUAUAUGUCAGUGUGAGAAAUGCUAAGUUUGAUAAAAGGUUGGUUUGAUUCUGCAAAUAUCUGCUAUGAAAUUUCUCAAGUGCAUAUGUUUUCUUAUUGUUGGAUGUGGUGCGGCUGAUUUCUGUUUUGAAAAGGCAAAUAGUACUUGCACCCAGGUCUGGAAGUCGUAUCCUACUAAAAGCCCAGAUGUUAACUACUGCAGACGAAUGCAAAUAUUUCAAGUGUGCAUGCAACUUACAGACGACGUGUGCGGUGAUUACUUCACGGAACUCAUUUAUCAGGAUUGUUUUGAUAAAAUACUUAUGCCAGUGACACUUAUUUCAAAUGUGGGGUCAUUCAAAUCCGUAUCCAAAUACAACAUAUUUGCGCCCCUCAUCAUAGCAACCUGGAUGUAAUGAAUUUCAAAAUCAACGGAUGAAGCUACAUUUCAUGGCAAAUAUUUAUAUUAGGAAGAUAGAAUGAUUACACACCUUGUGUAUGUAUUUAUUUUUUGGUUAAAUCAUAACUGCAUUUUAUUUGGAAGAGAGAGAUAACAGUUCACACUCUUAUUACUAUUAUUAUUACGGAGGUAAAUAAAAUUCUCAAAAAAUAAUAUUAAUA